UACGUAGGGUGCGAGCGUUACUCGGAAUUACUGGGCGUAAAGCGUGCGCAGGCGGUUCUGCAAGUCAGAUGUGGAAGCCCCGGGCUCAACCUGGGAAUUGCAUUUGAAACUACAGGGCUAGAGUGUGUCAGAGGGGGGUAGAAUUCCACGUGUAGCAGUGAAAUGCGUAGAGAUGUGGAGGAAUACCGAUGGCGAAGGCAGCCCCCUGGGAUAACACUGACGCUCAUGCACGAAAGCGUGGGGAGCAAACAGG
This 253-nucleotide ribosomal RNA is filed under the name uncultured bacterium. RNAcentral's name for it is "partial 16S ribosomal RNA". It matches the Rfam family "Bacterial small subunit ribosomal RNA", at positions 524 to 776 of the family's 1533-position model. The record is from RNAcentral.